This 105-nucleotide non-coding RNA is filed under the name Bhargavaea cecembensis. RNAcentral's name for it is "SAM-I sequence". It matches the Rfam family "SAM riboswitch aptamer (S box leader)". Rfam says of the family: The SAM riboswitch is found upstream of a number of genes which code for proteins involved in methionine or cysteine biosynthesis in Gram-positive bacteria. The SAM riboswitch acts at the level of transcription termination control. The record is from RNAcentral. RNAcentral also lists the same sequence under 1 other name. Lineage: Bacteria; Bacillati; Bacillota; Bacilli; Caryophanales; Caryophanaceae.
UUCUUAUAUAGAGAAGUGGAGGGACUGGCCCUGCGAAGCUUCAGCAACAGACUCAAUUUGAGAACUGUGCUAAUUCCAGCAGCAUCUAAUGCUGAAAUAUAAGAA